This 1442-nucleotide small RNA is filed under the name Pongo abelii (Sumatran orangutan). Its description in RNAcentral is "retained intron". The record is from RNAcentral. Lineage: Eukaryota; Metazoa; Chordata; Mammalia; Primates; Hominidae.
GCGCUCACAAUGGAGCUCUCGGAGUCUGUGCAGAAAGGCUUCCAGAUGCUGGCGGAUCCCGGCUCCUUCGACUCCAACGCCUUCACGCUUCUCCUCCGGGCGGCAUUCCAGAGUCUGCUGGACGCCCAGGCGGACGAGGCCGUGUUAGAUCAUCCAGACUUGAAACAUAUCGACCCAGUGGUUUUAAAACAUUGUCAUGCAGCAGCUGCAACUUACAUACUAGAGGCAGGAAAGCACCGAGCUGACAAGUCAACUCUAAGCACUUAUCUAGAAGACUGUAAAUUUGACAGAGAGCGAAUAGAACUGUUUUGCACGGAAUAUCAGGUUACUUAAAAUUUUUAAUUAACAGUACUAUUUUUCUAUUACUUUGUUUGUAAAGAUCUGUUUUUUUUUUCUUCUUUCUUUCUUUCUUUUUCCUCUCCAGAAUAAUAAGAAUUCCCUAGAAAUCCUACUGGGAAGGUAGGUACUGUAUAAGGUGUCAAGCUGAGGCACUUUUCACUUGCAGGUAUGAAUGGAGAGUGUUGGUGUGAAACAAGAUCUUCGGGAUCUUGACCCAAAGAAAAGGAGCCAAAGGGCAUGUCAAACAAUUGAAGUUAAGCUAAUGUUUUUAAAGAUAGUUUAUUGAGAUGAUUUUGAAAUGCUCCUUUACCAUUCAGAAUUUAAAAAUAAAGUUUAACAAUGGUUUAAAUUCAGAAUGGAUUAAAAUGGAGUUGGGGGUGGAAAGUAGAGCCAUUCUUAGUAAAUAAUAAAUAACUGAAAAGUUCUUUUGAGAAGACUAUGUACAAAGUUAUCAUUGCAUCUUUCAGUAUAGGCAGAUCGCUCCCUCAUAUAACGGAUGUUUCUUGGCGCUUGGAAUAUCAGAUAAAGGUAUAGUUUAAGAAACUUCUCUAGGGGGGAUUUAGGGAACUUCUUAAAACCUAGAGUUAAAAGCUGUUACGUGUUUGUUGUGUUAUUUUAGACCAAUCAACUUCAUAGGAUGUACAGACCUGCAUAUUUGGUGACCUUAAGUGUACAGAACACUGAUUCCCCAUCCUAUCCAGAGAUUAGUUUUAGUUGCAGCAUGGAACAAUUACAGGACUUGGUGGGGAAACUUAAAGAUGCUUCGAAAAGCCUGGAAAGAGCAACUCAGUUGUAACUUGGGGAAGUUAACGAUCCGCCCGAGUGCAGAGGAAAACCAGAGACGCCUUGCCUUCAGCUGAACCACCGUUUGUGCGAGCUGGAUGUCCUUUUCAGUAGAAAAGAAUUUUCUUUUUGAAUUUAUGCCAUUCAUCAAUUUUGACACUUUAAAAACAUGUGUGAAAGGGUUAAGAGGGAAAGAUACUGCCCAAGUAUUUGAAUCGUUUAGUAGUAACUGUCCAUUUAUCCUAUUUUGAUCUUUUUCAAGUCUUCUGAAAGGAAGUAGACAGUAUUACACCCUGAAUAAAUAAGGUGGUGUUUUCCAC